CCUACGGGCGGCUGCAGUGGGGAAUAUUGCACAAUGGGGGAAACCCUGAUGCAGCGACGCCGCGUGAGCGAAGAAGUAUUUCGGUAUGUAAAGCUCUAUCAGCAGGGAAGAAAAUGACGGUACCUGACUAAGAAGCUCCGGCUAAAUACGUGCCAGCAGCCGCGGUAAUACGUAUGGAGCAAGCGUUAUCCGGAUUUACUGGGUGUAAAGGGAGCGUAGGCGGCGGGGCAAGUCUGAUGUGAAAACCCGGGGCUCAACCCCGGGACUGCAUUGGAAACUGUCCUGCUAGAGUGUCGGAGGGGUAAGUGGAAUUCCUAGUGUAGCGGUGAAAUGCGUAGAUAUUAGGAGGAACACCGGUGGCGAAGGCGGCUUACUGGACGACAACUGACGCUGAGGCUCGAAAGCGUGGGGAGCAAACAGGAUUAGAUACCCGUGUAGUC
This 440-nucleotide ribosomal RNA is filed under the name uncultured bacterium. RNAcentral describes it as "bacterial SSU rRNA". It matches the Rfam family "Bacterial small subunit ribosomal RNA", at positions 338 to 795 of the family's 1533-position model. The record is from RNAcentral.